CCGCUGGAGGGGUCUGGCUGCUGGAGCCCGUGUGUCGUAGGAGUUCGUCCGGAAUCUAUCUACUACAGAAGUUUGGUCGGAGUCUGGUUCCCAUAGAAGUCCGAAUGGAGAUUGUUUGUUGAGGAAGCUCGGCCAAAGCCUGCCUGCAAUAAAAGUUCGGAAGGAAUUCGUUCACAAUAGAAGCUCAGGUGGAGGCUUACAGUAGAAAUCGAACGUGGACC
Molecule: long non-coding RNA, 221 nt
Filed under: Elaeis guineensis (African oil palm)
Lineage: Eukaryota; Viridiplantae; Streptophyta; Magnoliopsida; Arecales; Arecaceae
Description: long non-coding RNA (EGUI_LNC070031)
Source: RNAcentral